RNAcentral lists this ribosomal RNA (119 nucleotides) under Aspergillus flavus. Lineage: Eukaryota; Fungi; Ascomycota; Eurotiomycetes; Eurotiales; Aspergillaceae. The record is from RNAcentral.
ACAUACGACCAUAGGGUGUGGAGAACAGGGCUUCCCGUCCGCUCAGCCGUACUUAAGCCACACGCCGGGAGGUUAGUAGUUGGGUGGGUGACCACCAGCGAAUCCCUCCUGUUGUAUGU